GCGAAAGAGAAAAAAGAAUACAACUCAAUUAAAUGUAAUGUGGAAGAAAAAGUCAAUAUUUUUCAUGCUACCAUAUUGGAAGAUAACUCUAAUCAUAAUUUUUCUGGUUUGCUAAAUACUUCUAAUGGCUUGUAGUAUAUCAUCGCACAAUUAAUGUUUAAUUUGCAAACUUUACGUGUACGUCAUAAUUUGGAUGUGAUGCAUGUGAAAAAGAACAUUUGCGAGAGCAUCAUUAAUACACUUUUGGACGUGAAAGGAAAAUCUAAAGAUGGUAUUAACUCUCGUAAAGACUUGGAAGCGAUGAAUAUUAAGCAUGAUUUACAUGCUGAGAGAAGAGGAAAUAAAUUCUACUUACCUGCUGCCUAUCACACUUUAUUAAAAGCAGAAAAAUAAAUGUUUUGCAUGAAACUUGCUAAUAUGGGAUUGCCCGAUGGUUAUGGUUCUAAUAUCGAAAAUUGCAUUUCAGUGAAGUGAAAAAAUGUAAGAUAGCUGGAUUCAAGUUUCGUGAUUGUCACAUUUUAAUGCAACAAUUACUACCAGUUACAUUGAGAUGACUUCUACCUAAAGGAUCAGAGAACUCCAUUUUUAAAUUGUGUUCAUUUUUCAAUGAAACAUGUCAAGGGGUUGCAAAUAGGAAUAAUGUUGAAAGUUUGGAAAAAGACGUUUCUGAAACUUUAUGCAUGUUGGAAAGGUAUUUUCUACCUUCCUUUUUUGAUAUUAUGGUUCAUUUCACAAUCCAUAUUGGGAGAGAAGUUCGUCUAUGCGGACCAAUCCAAUAUUGUUGGAUGUACCCAUUUGAGAGGUAAUAUUCCUUUAAGUUAUACCCAAAUGUGAAAUUUAUUUUCAAUUUUGUUUUAUAUUUUAUACUAUUUUUCAGUAAAUAUGUAGGUAUAUGAAACAGUUGAGAUGAUAUGUUAUGAAUCCUGCACGACCUAAAGGGUGUGUAGCUGAAUGAUACAUUAUUGAAGAAAAUACGAUGUUUUGUAGUAGUUACAUAAAACAGGCAUAUGAAAUAGGCAUUAGGCCUGCACACAACGAAGAAUAUGAGAGUAACUUCUUGGUUGUAGGGCGCACAAUUUCUAAAAGGAAGCCAAUUGUACUUCUAGAUGAGAUGUUGAAAGUUGCCAAACGCUAUGUGUUGCUAAUAGUACUGAAGUGGCACCCUACAUAUAGUAUGUUUGUGAAAUACCUACGUUGUUAGAUUUUAAGUUCUUAGACCAUAUUAAUUUAUUUUAUCUUGUUUUCCACUUAGGAUGUAUAUGAAUGAACUCAAGAGUUUUGACAAACAACUUGAAAGAAAUGAGAAUUUAUUGCAAAAGAGACACACUGACUCUUUUGCUGCUUGGCUGAAUGAUAAGGUUGACAUAUAUAUAAGAAAUUCAACGUGUUUAAUUAUGUUUUUGUUUCUUCUAUUCCUAGCAUGUUUAUGAUAAAAACAGAUCAAAGGUCAACUGUUGCUGGACAAUGUUUCAAAUGCUUUAAAGUGGCUAGUGUGUGGUCCUAGAUGCCAGUCAAUGUCAUAUUCUAGUUUUGUAAUAAAUGGUCUUCAGUUUCACACGAAAAAUGCAGAAAAGUCUCGACAAAACGGUGGCAUUUCAGUUGAAGCGACAACCAUUUGUAGAUAUACUACAAAAGAUAAUGCACAUGUUGUUCGAAAGGUUCUUUAUUAUGGAGUUCUACAUGAUAUUAUAGUGCUUGAUUACAAUGCAUUUCAUAUUCUACUAUUAAAAUGUGAUUGGACAAAUAUCGUGAAUGGAAUAAAAAAAUGAGGAUGGAUUUACUUUGGUUAAUCUUAAUGAGGGAUAUAGACAAUUUGAAAACGAUCAUUUCAUUUUGACAUCACAGGCAAAACAAGUGUUCUAUUCUAGGGAGAGUGAAACAUCUAAUUGGUAUGUUGCUUUGCAAGCGUCACCAAGAGACUUUCACACUUACCUAUGGAAGAAGAUACUUCUCACUAGGCAACUAUUCCAUUAGAUAUAAUACAACUCGAAGACAAUUAGGAUGAGGAUGAGAAUUAUGCAAGGAUAUAUGUCGACGGCGUAUUAUGUGAUACAUAUCUCAAUUAGUUUGGUAAAUAUCCUCAUAAAAAUCACAUGCUUUAAGUUGACAUUGUAGAUAAAGUGUUUUUGGUGUAUUGAUUAAUCUUUUGAAUUUUAUUUUAAUGUUUGAUAAUCGUACUGGCAGAUUUUGUUAUAGUGAUUAAUUAAUUUGGUAAAUCUCUCUCUCUCUUUUUGUUUGCAGCUUUCCAUUAUCUUUGAAGUGAUUUGUUUCGAACCAGCUGACUGUAAUACACUUUAUAGGAUAGAAGGAGCUCAGGUUAGUGUGUUUUUUAUACUUCUUAAGUUAUCUAUUAACUUUCGAGAAUAAUUAUAUUUAUAUUUGGUUUUCACAUUGCAUUCUUUAAGUCGACCAAGCAAGCUUCGAAGAGCUGCAAUUGUUGUUACAGUUCGAGAAAUCAAUAAAAGACUAAGACUUUCGAGUGAACCUUAAAAUACUUUAUCAAUUCCAAUUACUAAUGAGCAAAACAUGCUGCCGACAAAUAUAAAUGCUCCAAAAAGGAAAAGAGGUCCAACCCAAGUGAAAUAGUACUUAGCUCGAAUUUAAUGAAUUCGAGCAAGUAGUUGGCACUAACUCUGAUAAAGUUGCUAGUAUAGUUGGAGACAUGAUACGAGAACAUGUGUCUCUUGUAAUUAAGGAUUGGCAGUUGUUAGGUGACAUGAAAAAAAAGGAACUUUGGACUUUCAUAAAG
This 2749-nucleotide long non-coding RNA is filed under the name Olea europaea subsp. europaea. Lineage: Eukaryota; Viridiplantae; Streptophyta; Magnoliopsida; Lamiales; Oleaceae. The record is from RNAcentral.